This 8716-nucleotide long non-coding RNA is filed under the name Triticum aestivum (bread wheat). RNAcentral describes it as "long non-coding RNA (TAES_LNC023963)". The record is from RNAcentral. Lineage: Eukaryota; Viridiplantae; Streptophyta; Magnoliopsida; Poales; Poaceae.
AAAAAUAAAUAGCAAACUAUGAGGCAGCCGCAGUUCAAAUUUGACCCGCUUCCAACUGAAACGGCGGAAAUUUGUCUUUUUCACCAGAGGUGGAUUAAAACUUUUUACACCCAACCAUUUGGUCAAUUGUGCAUUAAAUAUGGCCUAGUAUUUUAUAAAAAUGAUUUGGUCCAAUUUUGCAACAAUUAUUUGGUAGGUUCUUCACAAAAAAAUCAUUUGGGGCACUCGAAAAAUGGAAAAUGUUUUUUUCGUCCAAAGAAAAUGAAAGUUUCCUUAGGCAACAUUGCUUGCCAUUCCAAUAUGCACCCUUGUGCACAAUAUAAGAUCAUUUGAACGAACUAUGCCAUGAAUGUGGCCAUAAGAUUGAUCAUUUGACUUGGAAGCCAUGAAUCUUCACACAUGAUAGCUCAUUUCUGAGAACACUUUUUUAAAAGAAUUGCCGUAUUACAAGUUUAUUAUUUUUCCUGGUAACUUGGUCACAUAUAAUGACACAAUGCGAAGGUUUUCUAAUUUGUUUUAUUUUUUUGAAUUUUUUAUGCCCGUUUCAAAAUGCGGUCAAAAUGGCGGGAAUGACCGUUCCAAGCUAGUGGUUGAAUCUUGGAAUUUUUUUGGUGUUGCUCUGAUUAAAUAGAUACUUUUGUACCUAGAAAUGAUUUUUUGAAAAAAUGAAUAGCAAACUAUUAGGCAGCCGCAGUUCAAAUUUGACCCGCUUCCAACUUAAAUGGCGGAAAUUUGUCUUUUUCACCAGAGGUGGAUCAAAACUUUUUACACCCAACCAUUUGGUUAAUUGUGCAUUAAAUAUGACCUAGUAUUUUAUAAAAAUGAUUUGGUCCAAUUUUGCAACAAUUAUUUGGUAGGUUCUUCACAAAAAACCUCAUUUGGGGCACUCAAAAAAUGGAAAAUGUUUUUUCGUCCAAAGAAAAUGUAAAUUUCCUUAGGCAACAUUGUUUGCCAUUCCAAUAUGCACCCUUGUGCACAAUAUGAGAUCAUUUGAACAAACUAUGCCAUGAAUGCGGCCAUAAGAUUGAUCAUUUGACUUGGAAGCCAUGAAUCUUCACACAUGAUAGCUCAUUUCUGAGAACACUUUUUUAAAAGAAUUGCCGUAUUACAAGUUUAUUAUUUUUCCUGGUAACUUGGUCACAUAUAAUGACACAAUGCGAAGGUUUUCUAAUUUGUUUUAUUUUUUUGAAUUUUUUAUGCCCGUUUCAAAAUGCGGUCAAAACGGCGGGAAUGACCGUUCCAAGCUAGUGGUUGAAUCUUGGAAUUUUUUUGGUGUUGCUCCGAUUAAAUAGAUACUUUUGUACCUAGAAAUGAUUUUUUGAAAAAAUGAAUAGCAAACUAUUAGGCAGCCGCAGUUCAAAUUUGACCCGCUUCCAACUUAAAUGGCGGAAAUUUGUCUUUUUCACCAGAGGUGGAUCAAAACUUUUUACACCCAACCAUUUGGUUAAUUGUGCAUUAAAUAUGACCUAGUAUUUUAUAAAAAUGAUUUGGUCCAAUUUUGCAACAAUUAUUUGGUAGGUUCUUCACAAAAAACCUCAUUUGGGGCACUCAAAAAAUGGAAAAUGUUUUUUCGUCCAAAGAAAAUGUAAAUUUCCUUAGGCAACAUUGUUUGCCAUUCCAAUAUGCACCCUUGUGCACAAUAUGAGAUCAUUUGAACAAACUAUGCCAUGAAUGCGGCCAUAAGAUUGAUCAUUUGACUUGGAAGCCAUGAAUCUUCACACAUGAUAGCUCAUUUCUGAGAACACUUUUUUAAAAGAAUUUCCGUAUUACAAGUUUAUUAUUUUUCCUGGUAACUUGGUCACAUAUAAUGACACAUUGCGAAGGUUUUGGAAAUUUUUGAUUUUUUUUAAUUUUUUUAUGCCCGUUUCAAAAUGCGGUCAAAACGGCGGGAAUGACCGUUCCUAGCUAGUGGUUGAAUCUUGGAAUUUUUUUGGUGUUUCUCUGAUUAAAUAGAUACUUUUGUACCUAGAGAUGAUUUUUGGAAAAAAAUAAAUAGCAAACUAUGAGGGAGUCGCAGUUCAAAUUUGACCCGCUUCCAGCUGAAACGGCAGAAAUUUGUCUUUUUCACCAGCGGUGGAUGAAAACUUUUUACACCCAACCAUUUGGUCAAUUGUGCAUUAAAUAUGGCCUAGUAUUUUAUAAAAAUGAUUUGGUCCAAUUUUGCAACAAUUAUUUGGUAGGUUCUUCACAAAAAAACCUCAUUUGGGGCACUCGAAAAAUGGAAAAUGUUGUUUUCGUCCAAAGAAAAUGAAAGUUUCCUUAGGCAACAUUGUUUGCCAUUCCAAUAUGCACCAUUAUGCACAAUACGAGAUCAUUUGAACAAACUAUGCCAUGAAUGUGGCCAUAAGAUUGAUCAUUUGACUUGGAAGCCAUUAAUCUUCACACAUGAUAGCUCAUUUCUGAGAACACUUUUUUUAAAAGAAUUGACGUAUUACAAGUUUAUUGUUUUUCCUGGUAACUUGGUCACAUAUAAUGACACAAUGCAAAUGUUUUCCAAUUUUUUGAUUUUUUUUUUGAAUUUUUUAUGCACGUUUCAAAAUGCGGUCAAAACGGCGGGAAUGACCGUUCCUAGCUAGUGGUUGAAUCUUGGAAUUUUUUUGGUGUUUCUCUGAUCAAAUAGAUACUUUUCUACCUGGAAAUGAUUUUUGGAAAAAAUAAAUAGCAAACUAUGAGGCAGCCGCAGUUCAAAUUUGACCCGCUUCCAACUAAAAUGGCGGAAAUUUGUCUUUUUGACCAGAGGUGGAUUAAAACUUUUUACACCCAACCAUUUGGUCAAUUGUGCAUUAAAUAUGGCCUAGUAUUUUAUAAAAAUGAUUUGGUCCAAUUUUGCAACAAUUAUUUGGUAGGUUCUUCACAAAAAAAUUCAUUUGGGGCACUUGAAAAUGGAAAAUGUUUUUUUCGUCCAAAGAAAAUGAAAGUUUCCUUAGGCAACAUUGUUUGCCAUUCCAAUAUGCACCCUUGUGCACAAUAUAAGAUCAUUUGAAUAAACUAUGCCAUGCAUGUGGCCAUAAGAUUGAUCAUUUGACAUGGAAGCCAUGAAUCUUCACACAUGAUAGCUCAUUUCUGAGAACACUUUUUUAAAAGAAUUGCCAUAUUACAAGUUAUUAUUUUUCCUGGUAACUUGGUCACAUAUAAUGACACAAUGCAAAGGUUUUCCAAUUUUUUUAUUUUUGUGAAUUUUUUAUGCUCGUUUCAAAAUGCGGUCAAAACGGCGGGAAUGACCGUUCCAAGCUAGUGGUUGAAUCUUGGAAUUUUUUUGGUGUUUCUCUGAUUAAAUAGAUACUUUUGUACCUAUAAAUGAUUUUUGGAAAAAAUAAAUAGCAAACUAUUAGGCAGCCGCAGUUCAAAUUUGACCCGCUUCCAACUGAAAUGGCGGAAAUUUGUCUUUUUCACCAGAGGUGGUUCAAAACUUUUUACACCCAACCAUUUGGUUAAUUGUGCAUUAAAUAUGGCCUAGUAUUUUAUAAAAAUGAUUUGGUCCAAUUUUGCAACAAUUAUUUGGUAGGUUCUUCACAAAAACCUCAUUUGGGGCACUCAAAAAAUGGAAAAUGUUUUUUUCGUCCAAAGAAAAUGAAAAUUUCCUUAGGCAACAUUGUUUGCCAUUCCAAUAUGCAACCUUGUGCACAAUAUGAGAUCAUUUGAACAAAGUAUGCCAUGAAUGUGGCCAUAAGAUUGAUCAUUUGACUUGGAAGCCAUGAAUCUUCACACAUGAUAGCUCAUUUCUGAGAACACUUUUUUAAAAGAAUUUUCGUAUUACAAGUUUAUUAUUUUUCCUGGUAACUUGGUCACAUAUAAUGACACAUUGUGAAUGUUUUGGAAAUUUUUGAUUAUUUUUGAAUUUUUUAUGCCCGUUUCAAAAUGCGGUCAAAACGGUGGGAAUGACCGUUCCUAGCUAGUGGUUAAAUCUUGGAAGUUUUUUUUGGUGUUUCUCUGAUUAAAUAGAUACUUUUGUACCUAGAAAUGAUUUUUGGAAAAUAAAUAAAUAGCAAACUAUGAGGCAGUCGCAGAUCAAAUUUGACCCGCUUCCAGCUGAAACGGCGGAAAUUUGUCUUUUUCACCAGCGGUGGAUGAAAACUUUUUACACCCAACCAUUUGGUCAAUUGUGCAUUAAAUAUGGCCUAGUAUUUUAUAAAAAUGAUUUGGUCCAAUUUUGCAACAAUUAUUUGGUAGGUUCUUCACAAAAAAAUUCAUUUGGGGCACUUGAAAAUGGAAAAUGUUUUUUUCGUCCAAAGAAAAUGAAAGUUUCCUUAGGCAACAUUGUUUGCCAUUCCAAUAUGCACCCUUGUGCACAAUAUAAGAUCAUUUGAAUAAACUAUGCCAUGCAUGUGGCCAUAAGAUUGAUCAUUUGACAUGGAAGCCAUGAAUCUUCACACAUGAUAGCUCAUUUCUGAGAACACUUUUUUAAAAGAAUUGCCAUAUUACAAGUUAUUAUUUUUCCUGGUAACUUGGUCACAUAUAAUGACACAAUGCAAAGGUUUUCCAAUUUUUUUAUUUUUGUGAAUUUUUUAUGCUCGUUUCAAAAUGCGGUCAAAACGGCGGGAAUGACCGUUCCAAGCUAGUGGUUGAAUCUUGGAAUUUUUUUGGUGUUUCUCUGAUUAAAUAGAUACUUUUGUACCUAUAAAUGAUUUUUGGAAAAAAUAAAUAGCAAACUAUUAGGCAGCCGCAGUUCAAAUUUGACCCGCUUCCAACUGAAAUGGCGGAAAUUUGUCUUUUUCACCAGAGGUGGUUCAAAACUUUUUACACCCAACCAUUUGGUUAAUUGUGCAUUAAAUAUGGCCUAGUAUUUUAUAAAAAUGAUUUGGUCCAAUUUUGCAACAAUUAUUUGGUAGGUUCUUCACAAAAACCUCAUUUGGGGCACUCAAAAAAUGGAAAAUGUUUUUUUCGUCCAAAGAAAAUGAAAAUUUCCUUAGGCAACAUUGUUUGCCAUUCCAAUAUGCAACCUUGUGCACAAUAUGAGAUCAUUUGAACAAAGUAUGCCAUGAAUGUGGCCAUAAGAUUGAUCAUUUGACUUGGAAGCCAUGAAUCUUCACACAUGAUAGCUCAUUUCUGAGAACACUUUUUUAAAAGAAUUUUCGUAUUACAAGUUUAUUAUUUUUCCUGGUAACUUGGUCACAUAUAAUGACACAUUGUGAAUGUUUUGGAAAUUUUUGAUUAUUUUUGAAUUUUUUAUGCCCGUUUCAAAAUGCGGUCAAAACGGUGGGAAUGACCGUUCCUAGCUAGUGGUUAAAUCUUGGAAGUUUUUUUUGGUGUUUCUCUGAUUAAAUAGAUACUUUUGUACCUAGAAAUGAUUUUUGGAAAAUAAAUAAAUAGCAAACUAUGAGGCAGUCGCAGAUCAAAUUUGACCCGCUUCCAGCUGAAACGGCGGAAAUUUGUCUUUUUCACCAGCGGUGGAUGAAAACUUUUUACACCCAACCAUUUGGUCAAUUGUGCAUUAAAUAUGGCCUAGUAUUUUAUAAAAAUGAUUUGUUCCAAUUUUCCAACAAUUAUUUGGUAGGUUCUGCACAAAAAAUCCUCAUUUGGGGCACUCGGAAAAUGGAAAAUGUUUUUUUCAUCCAAAAAAAUGAAAGUUUCCUUAGGCAACAUUGUUGGCCAUUCCAAUAUGCACCAUUAUGCACAAUACGAGAUCAUUUGAACAAACUAUGCCAUGAAUGUGGCCAUAAGAUUGAUUAUUUGACUUGGAAGCCAUUAAUCUUCACACAUGAUAGCUCAUUUCUGAAAACACUUUUUUUAAAAGAAUUGAUGUAUUACAAGUUUAUUGUUUUUCCUGGUAACUUGGUCACAUAUAAUGACACAAUGCAAAUGUUUUCCAAUUUUUUGAUUUUUUUUGAAUUUUUUAUGCACGUUUCAAAAUGCGGUCAAAACGGCGGGAAUGACCGUUCCUAGCUAGUGGUUGAAUCUUGGAAUUUUUUUGGUGUUUCUCUAAUUAAAUAGAUACUUUUGUACCUAGAAAUGAUUUUUGGAAAAAAUAAAUAGCAAACUAUGAGGCAGCCGCAGUUCAAAUUUGACCCGCUUCCAACUAAAACGGCGGAAAUUUGUCUUUUUGACCAGAGGUGGAUUAAAACUUUUUACACCCAACCAUUUGGACAAUUGUGCAUUAAAUAUGGCCUACUAUUUUAUAAAAAUGAUUUGGUCCAAUUUUGCAACAAUUAUUUGGUAGGUUCUUCACAAAAAAAUCAUUUGGGGCACUCGAAAAAUGGAAAAUGUUUUUUUCGUCCAAAGAAAAUGAAAGUUUCCUUAGGCAACAUUGCUUGCCAUUCCAAUAUGCACCCUUGUGCACAAUAUAAGAUCAUUUGAACGAACUAUGCCAUGAAUGUGGCCAUAAGAUUGAUCAUUUGACUUGGAAGCCAUGAAUCUUCACACAUGAUAGCUCAUUUCUGAGAACACUUUUUUAAAAGAAUUGCCGUAUUACAAGUUUAUUAUUUUUCCUGGUAACUUGGUCACAUAUAAUGACACAAUGCGAAGGUUUUCCAAUUUUUUUAUUUUUUUGAAUUUUUUAUGCCCGUUUCAAAAUGCGGUCAAAACGGCGGGAAUGACCGUUCCAAGCUAGUGGUUGAAUCUUGGAAUUUUUUUGGUGUUGCUCUGAUUAAAUAGAUACUUUUGUACCUAGAAAUGAUUUUUGGAAAAAAUGAAUAGCAAACUAUUAGGCAGCCGCAGUUCAAAUUUGACCCGCUUCCAACUGAAAUGGCGGAAAUUUGUCUUUUUCACCAGAGGUGGAUCAAAACUUUUUACACCCAACCAUUUGGUCAAUUGUGCAUUAAAUAUGACCUAGUAUUUUAUAAAAAUGAUUUGGUCCAAUUUUGCAACAAUUAUUUGGUAGGUUCUUCACAAAAAACCUCAUUUGGGGCACUCAAAAAAUGGAAAAUGUUUUUUCGUCCAAAGAAAAUGAAAAUUUCCUUAGGCAACAUUGUUUGCCAUUCUAAUAUGCACCCUUGUGCACAAUAUGAGAUCAUUUGAACAAACUAUGCCAUGAAUGUGGCCAUAAGAUUGAUCAUUUGACUUGGAAGCCAUGAAUCUUCACACAUGAUAGCUCAUUUCUGAGAACACUUUUUUAAAAGAAUUUCCGUAUUACAAGUUUAUUAUUUUUCCUGGUAACUUGGUCACAUAUAAUGACACAUUUCGAAGGUUUUGGAAAUUUUUGAUUUUUUUUAAUUUUUUAUGCCCGUUUCAAAAUGCGGUCAAAACGGCGGGAAUGACCGUUCCUUGCUAGUGGUUGAAUCUUGGAAUUUUUUUGGUGUUUCUCUGAUUAAAUACAUACUUUUGUACCUAGAAAUGUUUUUUGGAAAAAAAUAAAUAGCAAACUAUGAGGCAGUCGCAGUUCAAAUUUGACCCGCUUCCAGCUGAAAGGGCGGAAAUUUGUCUUUUUCACCAGCGGUGGAUCAAAAGUUUUUACACCCAACCAUUUGGUCAAUUGUGCAUUAAAUAUGGCCUAGUAUUUUAUAAAAAUGAUUUGGUCCAAUUUUGCAACAAUUAUUUGGUAGGUUCUUCACAAAAAAACCUCAUUUGGGGCACUCGAAAAAUGGAAAAUGUUGUUUUCGUCCAAAGAAAAUGAAAGUUUCCUUAGGCAACAUUGUUUGCCAUUCCAAUAUGCACCAUUAUGCACAAUACGAGAUCAUUUGAACAAACUAUGCCAUGAAUGUGGCCAUAAGAUUGAUCAUUUGACUUGGAAGCCAUUAAUCUUCACACAUGAUAGCUCAUUUCUGAGAACACUUUUUUUAAAAGAAUUGACGUAUUACAAGUUUAUUGUUUUUCCUGGUAACUUGGUCACAUAUAAUGACACAAUGCAAAUGUUUUCCAAUUUUUUGAUUUUUUUUUUUGAAUUUUUUAUGCCCGUUUCAAAAUGCGGUCAAAACGGCGGGAAUGACCGUUCCUAGCUAGUGGUUGAAUCUUGGAAGUUUUUUGGUGUUUCUCUGAUCAAAUAGAUACUUUUGUACCUAGAAAUGAUUUUUGGAAAAAAUAAAUAGCAAACUAUGAGGCAGCCGCAGUUCAAAUUUGACCCGCUUCCAACUGAAAUGGCGGAAAUUUGUCUUUUUCACCAAAGGUGGAUUAAAACUUUUUACACCCAACCAUUUGGUCAAUUGUGCAUUAAAUAUGGCCUAGUAUUUUAUAAAAAUGAUUUGGUCCAAUUUUGCAACAAUUAUUUGGUAGGUUCUUCACAAAAAAAAUUCAUUUGGGGCACUCGAAAAAUGGAAAAUAUUUUUUUGUCCAAAGAAAAUGAAAGUUUCCUUAGGCAACAUUGUUUGCCAUUCCAAUAUGCACCCUUGUGCACAAUAUAAGAUCAUUUGAAUAAACUAUGCCAUGCAUGUGGCCAUAAGAUUGAUCAUUUGACUUGGAAGCCAUGAAUCUUCACACAUGAUAGCUCAUUUCUGAGAACACUUUUUUAAAAGAAUUGCCAAAUUACAAGUUAUUAUUUUUCCUGGUAACUUGGUCACAUAUAAUGACAUAAUGCGAAGGUUUUCCAAUUUUUUUAUUUUUGUGAAUUUUUUAUGCCCGUUUCAAAAUGCGGUCAAAACGGCGGGAAUGACCGUUCCAAGCUAGUGGUUGAAUCUUGGAAUUUUUUUGGUGUUUCUCUGAUUAAAUAGAUACUUUUGUACCUAGAAAUGAUUUUUGGAAAAAAUAAAUAGCAAACUAUUAGGCAGCCGCAGUACAAAUUUGACCCGCUUCCAACUGAAAUGGCGGAAAUUUGUCUUUUUCACCAGAGGUGGUUCAAAACUUUUUA